CUUGGGUUGAAUAAUUUGGGGAAUGCUCUACCUCUUCUAAACAACGGCCAGCCAAAAAUAAUGGGAUCCAUUUCAUCAAUGUCAAAUAAAAUUAGGAAAAAAGUCAUUUAGGCAACAUUUAGUGUCCAACUUCAAAAGCAUCACCGCAUCUGUACUAUCAUUUAUGUUGCACUUACAGAAGGGGGGGGACUGUUUUACUUUGAACUGAAGUCUUGAGGAGAGAGACAGCUAACCAAAAAGAGACUAUAAACCAACAUGAGCUUUAAAGAGGAACACAGGGGAAGCAUGUUUUGCUGGCACCGUGGAGCCUGGAAGUAUUUUGCUCCCUGCAAAGAGGAGAAGCUUGAAAGCUCUGUACUCAAUUACCAAGCAUGAAUUUAUGGGAUCAAUGCACAGUUAACACGUUCCUCUCAAAAACUGCUACUGUAUUAUCUAAGAGUGACAUGGCUAUAUUUAGAGGGCUUCUCCAGCAGGAGUUGUAUCUGGAAGAUUACCAAACAAUAGGGAGGGUAAUGUAAGAAUCCA
Pelobates cultripes (western spadefoot toad) is the source of this 525-nucleotide non-coding RNA. NCBI's taxonomy places the organism in Eukaryota, Metazoa, Chordata, Amphibia, Anura, Pelobatidae. The record is from the annotation of a GenBank genome assembly.